UACGGGGGGGGUAAGCGUUGUUCGGAAUUACUGGGCGUAAAGGGCUCGUAGGCGGCCAACUAAGUCAUACGUGAAAUCCCUCAGCUUAACUGGGGAACUGCGUGUGAUACUGGAUGGCUUGGAUUUGGGAGAGGGAUGCGGAAUUCCAGGUGUAGCGGUGAAAUGCGUAGAUAUCUGGAGGAACACCGGUGGCGAAGGCGGCAUCCUGGACCGGCAUUGACGCUGAUGAGCGAAAGCCAGGGGAGCAAACGGG
Molecule: ribosomal RNA, 253 nt
Filed under: uncultured bacterium
Lineage: Bacteria
Description: partial 16S ribosomal RNA
Rfam family: Bacterial small subunit ribosomal RNA
Source: RNAcentral